RNAcentral lists this long non-coding RNA (218 nucleotides) under Elaeis guineensis (African oil palm). RNAcentral's name for it is "long non-coding RNA (EGUI_LNC010693)". Lineage: Eukaryota; Viridiplantae; Streptophyta; Magnoliopsida; Arecales; Arecaceae. The record is from RNAcentral.
UGCAGGAAAUACUUGGAGAGAAUAAGGUACAUUUAAUCUGCAUUGAACUUCAUAAUGGUUUAGAUUUUAUUGCAAAGAUCAAAUUGCUAUUUCACAUUUUGAAUGUCUAUAGAGUAGAUAACGAUAAAAUGGUAAUUUAACGAAUAUGGACAAGCCUAUUCCAUGGUAUAAUAUAUUCCAUCAUUUUGGUCGAACUGUGGCAGGGGAUAUCUCUUGCC